GUGGGGAAUAUUGGACAAUGGCCGAGAGGCUGAUCCAGCCAUGCCGCGUGCGGGAGGACGGCCCUAUGGGUUGUAAACCGCUUUUGUUGGGGAGCAAUAAGUCUUACGUGUAAGAUGAUGAGAGUACCCAGCGAAUAAGCAUCGGCUAACUCCGUGCCAGCAGCCGCGGUAAUACGGAGGAUGCGAGCGUUAUCCGGAUUUAUUGGGUUUAAAGGGUGCGUAGGCGGGCUGCUAAGCGUGAGGUGAAAUGCCACGGCUCAACCGUGGAACUGCCUCGCGAACUGGUAGUCUUGAAUGUCCGUGCCGUGGGAGGAAUGUGUGGUGUAGCGGUGAAAUGCAUAGAGAUCACACAGAACACCGAUUGCGAAGGCAUCUCACGAACGGAUGAUUGACGCUGAGGCACGAAAGCGUGGGGAUCAAACAGG
RNAcentral lists this ribosomal RNA (425 nucleotides) under uncultured rumen bacterium. RNAcentral's name for it is "bacterial SSU rRNA". It matches the Rfam family "Bacterial small subunit ribosomal RNA", at positions 354 to 776 of the family's 1533-position model. The record is from RNAcentral.